This is a long non-coding RNA of Anolis carolinensis (green anole), 749 nucleotides long. RefSeq lists it as uncharacterized. The transcript is spliced from 3 exons. NCBI's taxonomy places the organism in Eukaryota, Metazoa, Chordata, Lepidosauria, Squamata, Anolidae. The record is from RefSeq and is a predicted model, not a curated record.
CUUGAAUAUGAAGAUGUUUGUAAACAUUGGCCAACAUGUCAACAAAAUGUGUCCUAGCCUGUUCAACUAUUCCUGGUAAGGAAAAUGAUCAUAUUCAUAUGUUUUUUAACUUCAAGGAUUUUUCAUGCAAGAUAGGAAGAUAUUUUUCAAAUUUAAAUCCAAAUUGACUGAAAUUGAAUUUUCAUUCAACAUUGAGUCAAUAGGGAAUCACUUGUACUCAAAGACACAGCUUCUGCUGGUCUUGCCCAACAUCAGAUCUCUACGUUUCACUGCUAAUAGUGAAUUUAUGUUGCAAUUGAUAGAUGACAGUUUCUGAGGCACAACCACUUCUGCUUUUGUAGGUAUUUAUUUCCAGGAAGCUCUGCUUCCUUCAGUACAGUUUUGACAAGAGAACAGGAGAGGCACAACAGCACCGAGACUCGAAGCAAGUUAAGAACGACACUGAAACACUGAAACAAGGAUCCUUCAGGUAACAGCAGAAUUAAAAAUUGAGACCAAUAUUUUAUCAAGAAGAGAAAAGAAGAUGGGCUACCCCCUUGAAAUAUUGGUUUUCGGGCUUCUUUCAACUGGCCCGCUUUGGGCAGGUGUACAGUGUGACAUAAAUCUAUACAAGCUUUAUGUCCAACCUGCAACAGUCCAAGAGGGACUCUGUGUCUUCAUCCCCUGCAACUUCACUUAUGACCCAAAUGAUGCCAGCAGCACUGCCACAUUGUAUGGAUACUGGUUUAAGGGAGGAUGUUUUAAUUCUC